RNAcentral lists this ribosomal RNA (272 nucleotides) under Aldrichina grahami. RNAcentral describes it as "18S ribosomal RNA". It matches the Rfam family "Eukaryotic small subunit ribosomal RNA", at positions 772 to 1039 of the family's 1831-position model. Lineage: Eukaryota; Metazoa; Arthropoda; Insecta; Diptera; Calliphoridae. The record is from RNAcentral.
UGCUAAAAGCAGGCUCCAAAUGCCUGAAUAUUUUGUGCAUGGAAUAAUGAAAUAAGACCUCUGUUCUACUUUCAUUGGUUUUUAGAUCAAGAGGUAAUGAUUAAUAGAAGCAGUUUGGGGGCAUUAGUAUUACGACGCGAGAGGUGAAAUUCUUGGACCGUCGUAAGACUAACUUAAGCGAAAGCAUUUGCCAAAGAUGUUUUCAUUAAUCAAGAACGAAAGUUAGAGGUUCGAAGGCGAUCAGAUACCGCCCUAGUUCUAACCAUAAACGA